GAACUGGCAACUUGGAGAAGUGGCAAGUCUUCCAGUAUGGGGAGCAAAACAGCUAUGGGUCAAGUCCGAUAUCUUUAGGAGAAGUCUUAUUGUGAGGGCGAGUUAUAUAACACCAUAGGACUGGCCGUCCCAUAUGAAAAGAUUAUAUUAGAAUUGAAUGAAGCUUUGUUUAUAUAUUGAUAAUGACAGUAUAUAUAUCGUGUCUUGACUAAUUGCGUGCCAGCAGUCGCGGUAAUACGUAAGAGACUAGUGUUAUUCAUCUUAAUUAGGUUUAAAGGGUACCCAGACGGUCAAUAUAGCUUAUAAAAUGUUAGUACUUGACUAGAGUUUUAUGUAAGAGGGCAGUACUUGAGGAGGAGAGAUGAAAUUUCGUGAUACCAAAGGGACUCUGUAAAGGCGAAGGCAGCCCUCUAUGUAAAAACUGACGUUGAAGGACGAAGGCACAGAGAACAAACAGGAUUAGAUACCCAAGUAGUCUUUGCAGUAAAUGAUGAAUGCCAUAGGUUAGAUUGAUCAAUUAUAGUCUAGGGUUAGUCUAGCAAACUAAUGCCCUAUGAUAUAAUUCAAAAUAUCUGGUCUAUAAAUGAAAGUGUAAGCAUUUCACCUCAAGAGUAAUGUGGCAACGCAGGAACUGAAAUCACUAGA
RNAcentral lists this ribosomal RNA (645 nucleotides) under Fusarium oxysporum. RNAcentral's name for it is "SSU rRNA". It matches the Rfam family "Bacterial small subunit ribosomal RNA", at positions 47 to 913 of the family's 1533-position model. The record is from RNAcentral. RNAcentral also lists the same sequence under 4 other names. Lineage: Eukaryota; Fungi; Ascomycota; Sordariomycetes; Hypocreales; Nectriaceae.